GAAACCAACAGGGAUUGCCCUAGUAACGGCGAGUGAAGCGGCAACAGCUCAAAUUUGAAAGCUGGCCUUCUGGUCCGCAUUGUAAUUUGCAGAGGAUGCUUUUGGCGCGGUGCCUUCCGAGUUCCCUGGAACGGGACGCCUUAGAGGGUGAGAGCCCCGUACGGUUGGACACCAAGCCUCUGUAAAGCUCCUUCGACGAGUCGAGUAGUUUGGGAAUGCUGCUCUAAAUGGGAGGUAAAUUUCUUCUAAAGCUAAAUACCGGCCAGAGACCGAUAGCGCACAAGUAGAGUGAUCGAAAGAUGAAAAGCACUUUGAAAAGAGGGUUAAACAGCACGUGAAAUUGUUGAAAGGGAAGCGUUUGCGACCAGACUUUUUCCAGGCGAAUCAUCCGGUGUUCUCACCGGUGCACUUCGCCUGGUUUAGGCCAGCAUCGGUUUCUGUAGGGGGAUAAAAGCCUGGGGAAAGUAGCUCUCUCGGGAGUGUUAUAGCCCCUAGCAUAAUACCCUUACGGGGACCGAGGAUCGCGCUUCUGCAAGGAUGCUGGCGUAAUGGUCGUCAACGACCCGUCUUGAAACACGGACCAAGGAGUCGAACAUUUGUGCGAGUGUUUGGGUGUUAAACCCUCACGCGUAAUGAAAGUGAACGGAGGUGAGAGCCCUUUAGGGUGCAUCAUCGACCGAUCCUGAUGUCUUCGGAUGGAUUUGAGUAAGAGCAUAAAUGUUCGGACCCGAAAGAUGGUGAACUAUGCGUGGAUAGGGUGAAGCCAGAGGAAACUCUGGUGGAGGCUCGCAGCGGUUCUGACGUGCAAAUCGAUCGUCAAAUCUGCGCAUGGGGGCGAAAGACUAAUCGAACCAUCUAGU
RNAcentral lists this ribosomal RNA (860 nucleotides) under Fasciatispora petrakii. RNAcentral describes it as "eukaryotic LSU rRNA". It matches the Rfam family "Eukaryotic large subunit ribosomal RNA", at positions 61 to 948 of the family's 3401-position model. The record is from RNAcentral. Lineage: Eukaryota; Fungi; Ascomycota; Sordariomycetes; Xylariales; Fasciatisporaceae.